This 90-nucleotide small RNA is filed under the name Pedobacter soli. RNAcentral describes it as "Flavo-1 RNA". It matches the Rfam family "Flavo-1 RNA". Lineage: Bacteria; Pseudomonadati; Bacteroidota; Sphingobacteriia; Sphingobacteriales; Sphingobacteriaceae. The record is from RNAcentral.
AAAUAAACCCGAUAGUAGUGGAAAGUUUUUAUUGUCAGUCUGAGCUUGUCGAAGACCAAUAAAAGCUUGAAACGAAUAGCGGGACUACAG